GACGUGGUGGCCGAGUGGUUAAGGCGAUCGACUGCUAAUCUGUUGUGCUCUGCACGCAUGAGUUCGAAUCUCAUCCACGUCG
Daphnia pulex (common water flea) is the source of this 82-nucleotide non-coding RNA. The record is from Rfam. NCBI's taxonomy places the organism in Eukaryota, Metazoa, Arthropoda, Branchiopoda, Diplostraca, Daphniidae.